This 412-nucleotide ribosomal RNA is filed under the name uncultured bacterium. Its description in RNAcentral is "bacterial SSU rRNA". It matches the Rfam family "Bacterial small subunit ribosomal RNA", at positions 355 to 776 of the family's 1533-position model. The record is from RNAcentral.
UUGGGAAUAUUGGACAAUGGGCGAGAGCCUGAUCCAGCAAUCCCGCGUGAGUGAUGAAGGCCUUCGGGUCGUAAAGCUCUUUUAGUAGGGACGAAGGGGAAACCUUGACGGUACCUACAGAAAAAGCACCGGCUAACUCUGUGCCAGCAGCCGCGGUAAUACAGAGGGUGCAAGCGUUGUUCGGAAUCAUUGGGCGUAAAGCGCGAGUAGGCGGUCUCUUAAGUCUGAUGUGAAAGCCCAGGGCUCAACCCUGGAAGUGCAUUGGAUACUGGGAGACUAGAGGGUGUAAGAGGAGAGUGGAAUUCAUGGUGUAGGGGUGAAAUCCGUAGAUAUCAUGAGGAACAUCAGUGGCGAAGGCGGCUCUCUGGUACAUUUCUGACGCUCAGACGCGAAAGCAUGGGGAGCAAACAGG